AUGGAGGAGGAUGAUGAAGAUGGAGGACAGGAGCACCAGCAUCCACAGCAUCCUGAGGAAACAUCAACAGAGGACAGAGACUUCUAUUCACCAAAACAAUACAGGAGCACCAGCAUCCACAGCAUCCUCAGGAUGAAACAUCACCAGAGGACAGAAAGACUUCUAUUCACCAAAACAAUCAAUAGUUUUGCUUCAGAGGAGAAUCAGACAGUUCCAGAUGUUCGUCACCAGCACUGCAGUGUUUACACAGACUGCUUUGGUUUCAACUUUCUACAAAAAACUUUUGAAUUUUCAACUCACUUUCCAUCAGAAUCCAAGCUCAUCUUCAUCACUGGGAUGUUUCUUCAUCAGUUCUUCAUACAGACUGACACAGUUCACACAUGGAGAAGAUGAUUUAUGGAAUAUGACAUUUAGACUUUUCCUUUUCUCAACAGUAUGAUGCAUACAUCCCAACCCAAAUUUAAUGCAUUUUUUUGGCUUAACUUGAGACAAUUUCUAUCAAUAAAUUGCUAAUGUAUUAUUAUUGACUAUUAAUA
RNAcentral lists this long non-coding RNA (536 nucleotides) under Gouania willdenowi (blunt-snouted clingfish). RNAcentral's name for it is "lncRNA (ENSGWIG00000006455.1)". The record is from RNAcentral. Lineage: Eukaryota; Metazoa; Chordata; Actinopteri; Blenniiformes; Gobiesocidae.